ACUUAAGUAGUUUAAGUUAAAAUGUUGGUUUGUGGCGCCAUUGAUGUAGUAUUUACCUUAGGUU
This 64-nucleotide transfer RNA is filed under the name Glyptotermes pubescens. RNAcentral describes it as "tRNA-His". It matches the Rfam family "tRNA". From Rfam's summary of the family: Transfer RNA (tRNA) molecules are approximately 80 nucleotides in length. Lineage: Eukaryota; Metazoa; Arthropoda; Insecta; Blattodea; Kalotermitidae. The record is from RNAcentral.